Long non-coding RNA from Ochlerotatus camptorhynchus, 802 nucleotides. RefSeq lists it as uncharacterized. The record is from RefSeq and is a predicted model, not a curated record. The transcript is spliced from 3 exons. NCBI's taxonomy places the organism in Eukaryota, Metazoa, Arthropoda, Insecta, Diptera, Culicidae.
UAUGCAUUGAUGAAUAUUUUUUAACCACUUUUGGGAGCUUGUUCGAGCUGUCAUAGAGUGGUUGAAAUUUAUAGCAAAAAAGUGUAUACAAUUUAGACAUUUCCAGAGAAAACCAUUUUGCAACAUAAGUGUCUAAAUUAUAUUCACUAGUGGCUGAAAAAAAACUUGGCAACAAUUAUUUUCCGAAACCGCAGCGGCCAUCAUUCAUCAACUUUUCGCAGAGUGCGCUGAGAACUCCAAGAAAAAGUCAUCAUCGUCGAGUGAGAAUCAGGAAUUGCGGCUUCCAUCGCAAUCAAGUGCCGGAACGAAAAUAAAGUUUUCUUCCGAUUCUGUUUCCGACUUUGGAAACAGGACAUAAUGUGCGGGAUCAGGCCAAAGAGAUGGCCGAUGAUAAUAAGGGCUUCAAACGGCAGCACAACGAUCCGGAUCGAGUUCGCCGGGCAACGGAACGGGAAGGUCGACGAAAGGAUCGCGAAAAGAAAGAAACAUCCGAUUCCGGAUUGUGCGAAGGUUUCCGUGAUCGGACUACACUGCUUUGUACGCAAUUAAGAUAGAUUCCGCCAGGAGCAGCAUGUUCCCAACAUUGAAUCACCAUCAAUGGCAGAAACAACACCACCACACCAGAGUAUCCUCCUGACCAUUGGCGACAUGAACAGCCUCGCGAAUCACAUGAUGGAUUCUGCGUUGAAACCAAGGGGGCCAGCCGGCAGCAGAAGUACGGAGUAUUCCCUGGUCCCCGUGUACAAGGUCACUAAGGCGGUGGACCAAACAGCAACACGAACCAGAAUCAAGAAAUAAACCG